AUGGGACCAAUCAAGGCAGAGUUCGGCAAUCGGCGCCGGAGAUUCGCAAGCCCAGCGCCCUGCGCGGCCGCCCGCCGGCCUCCCGCCAGCCUCACGCCAGCCCGCCCCAACCUGCGGCUCCGCUGCCCAGCGGCGCCCAAGUCAGCCCUGCGGCAGGAAAGCAUACAGGGAGACACCAGGCAUCUCAAUGGAGAGGAGGGCGCAGGCGGGAGGGAAGACUCGAUCCUCGUCAAUGGGGCCUGCCGUAACAAGUCCUCCGACUCGCCCCCAAUCCUGGAGGCCAUCCGCACCCCCGAGAUCAGAGGCCGAAGAUCAAGCUUGAGACUCUCCAAGAGGGAGGUGUCCAGUCUGCUAAGCUAUACGCAGGACUUGACAGGCAAUGGCGAUGGGGAAGAUGGGGAUGGUUCUGACACCCCAGUGAUGCCGAAGCUCUUCCAGGAAACCAGGACUCGGUCAGAAAGCCCAGCUGUCCAAACCCGAAAUAACAACAGUGCCUCCAGCAGGGAGAGGCACCGGCCUUCCCCACGUUCCACCCGAGGCCGGCAGGGCCGCAGCCAUGUGGAGGAGUCCCCAGUGGAGUUCCCGGCUACCAGGUCCAUGAGACGGCGGGCGACAGCAUCGGCAGGCAUGCCAUGGUCGUCCCCUCCCAGCCCUUACCUCACCAUUGACCUGACAGACGAUACAGAGGACACAGAUGUGAUGCCCCAGAGCAGCAGUACCCCCUACGCCCGCCUAGCCCAGGACAGCCAGCAGGAGGGCAUGGAGUCCCCGCAGGUGGAGGCAGACAGUAGAGAUGGAGACAGUUCAGAGUAUCAGGAUGGGAAGGAGUUUGGAAUAGGGGACCUCGUGUGGGGGAAGAUCAAGGGCUUCUCCUGGUGGCCCGCCAUGGUGGUAUCUUGGAAGGCCACCUCCAAGCGACAGGCCAUGUCGGGCAUGCGGUGGGUCCAGUGGUUUGGCGAUGGCAAGUUCUCCGAGAUCUCUGCAGACAAACUGGUGGCACUGGGGCUGUUCAGCCAGCACUUUAAUUUGGCCACCUUCAAUAAGCUCGUCUCCUAUCGAAAAGCCAUGUACCAUGCUCUCGAGAAAGCUAGGGUGCAAGCAGGCAAGACCUUCCCCAGCAGCCCUGGAGACUCAUUGGAGGACCAGCUGAAGCCCAUGCUGGAGUGGGCCCACGGGGGCUUCAAGCCCACUGGGAUCGAGGGCCUCAAACCCAACAACAUGCAACCAGUGGUUAAUAAGUCGAAGGUGCAUCAUGCAGGCAGUAGGAAAUUAGAAUCAAAGAAAUACGAGAACAAGACUCAAAGACGCACAGCUGACUACUCAGCCGCCUCUGACUACUGCCCCCCACCCAAGCGCCUCAAGACAAAUUGCUAUAACAACGGCAAAGACCUAGGGGAUAAAGAUCAGACCUGAGAACAAAUGGCUUCAGAUGUUCCCAACAACAAGAGCAGCCUGGAAGAAGGCUGUUUGUCUUGUGGCAGGAAAAAUCCCGUGUCCUUUCACCCUGUCUUUGAGGGGGGCCUCUGUCAGACAUGCCGGGAUCAGUUCCUCGCGCUGUUUUACAAGUAUGGUGAUGAUGGCUAUCAGUCUUACUGCACUGUGUGCUGUGAGGGCCGAGAGCUGCUGCUCUGCAGCAACACGAGCUGCUGCCUGUGCUUCUGUGUGGAGUGCUUGGAGGUGCUGGUGGGCACAGGAACAGCGGCCGAGGCCAAGCUGCAGGAGCCCUGGAGCUGCUACAUGAGUCUCCCGCAGCGCUGUCACGGCAUCCUGCGGCGCCGGAAGGACUGGAACGUGCGCCUACAGGCCUUCUUCACCAGUGACACGGGGCUUGAAUACGAAGCCCCCAAGCUGUACCCUGCCAUUCCCGCAGCCCGAAGGCGGCCCAUUCAAGUCCUAUCUCUGUUUGAUGGAAUCGCAAAGGCUACCUAGUCCUCAAAGAGUUGGGCAUAAAGGUGGGAAAGUACGUCGCCUCCGAAGCGUGUGAGAAGUCCAUCGCUGUUGGAACCAUGAAGCACGAGGGGCAUAUCAAAUACGUGAACGACGUGAGGAACAUCACAAAGAAAAGUAUUGAAGAAUGGGGCCCAUUUGACUUGGUGAUAGGUGGAAGCCCAUGCAAUGAUCUCUCAAAUGUGAAUCCAGCCAGGAAAGGCCUAUAUGAGGGCACUGGCCGGCUCUUCUUUGAAUUUUACCACCUGCUGAAUUACUCACGCCCCAGGGAGGGUGAUGACCGGCCGCUCUUCUGGAUGUUUGAGAAUGUUGUAGCCAUGAAGGUUGGCGACAAGAGGGACAUCUCGCGGUUCCUGGAGUGUAAUCCAGUGAUGAUUGAUGCCAUCAAAGUUUCUGCUGCUCACAGGGCCCGAUAUUUUUGGGGCAAUCUUCCUGGGAUGAACAGGCCCGUGAGAGCAUCAAAGAAUGAUAAACUCGAGCUGCAGGACUGCUUGGAAUACAAUAGGAUAGCCAAGUUAAAGAAAGGACAGACAAUAACCACCAAGUCGAACUCAAUCAAACAGGGGAAAAACCAACUUUUCCCUGUUGUCAUGAAUGGCAAAGAAGAUGUUCUGUGGUGCACUGAGCUCGAAAGGAUCGUUGGCUUUCCUGUGCACUACACAGACGUUUCCAACAUGGGCCGUGGCGCCCGCCCAGAAGCUGCUGGGAAGGUCCUGGAGUGUGCCCGUCAUCCGAUACCCCUUCGCCCCUCUAAAGGACUACUUUGCAUGCGAAUAGUUCCAGCCAGGCUCCAAAUCCACUGGGUGUGUGGCAGAGUCAGGACCCAGGAGGUGUGAUUCCUGAAGGAAUCCCCAGGCCCUGCUCUUCCUCAGCUCUGUGGGCCAUAGCACGUACCUCAGUUCCCUCCUCCUCAGUGGGGGCAGAGCCACCUGACUCUCUUGCAGGGGGAGCCCAAGGUGCCGCCUCCUGGUGCACAAUUCAGACCUGGCUGCUUGGAGCAGCCAAACACGGUGCUCAUUUUUUCCUUCUCUUAAAACUUUAAAACUUGAAGUAGGUAGCAGCGUGGCUUUUUCUUUCCUUCCUGGAUCUACCACUCAGAGAAACAAUGGCUGAGAUACCAAAACCACAGUGCCGACAGCUCUCCAAUACUCAGGUUAAUGCUGAAAAAUCACCCAAGACAGUUAUUGCAAGACUUUAAUUUCUGAAAACUGGCUGCGACUCUGUUGCCAGGCGUGUGCAGUUGUAGGCAUGUAACUACAGGACAUUUUUAAGGGUCCAGGAUGGUUUUUUUCAGGGAAAGCAGAAGAGGAAAUAUUGUAUAUGUCUUUUACCCGGCACAUUCCCCUUGCCUAAAUACAAGAUGUGGAGUCUGCACGGGACCCAUUAGAGUAUUUUCCAUAAUGAUGAUGAUUUCAGCAGGGAUGACAUCAUCAUCACAUUCAGGGCUAUUUUUUCCCCCACAAACCCAAGGGCAGGGGCCACUCUUAGCUAAAUCCCUCCCAGUGACUGCAAUAGAACCGUCUGGGGAGCUCAGGAAGGGGUGUGCUGAGUUCUAUAAUAUAAGCUGCCACAUAUUAUGUAGACAACUACAGCUCCUCCAUACCUCCCUCUUCCCUAGGAGAAGAGUGUGAAGGAAGGAGCUUAGAUAAGACACUCCCUCAAACCCAUCCCCUCUCCAAGAGACCUACCCUCCACUGGCACAGGUCCCCAGAUUAGAAGUCUGCUACCUUCAUUCCUCAUCUUUUUACUAAACUCAGAUGCAGUGACAGCAGUCAGGGACAGAAGCACACUUCUCACACCUUUCCCUCAUCUAAGAGAUGACAGGGAAAAUGGCAAUGAAAGCUCAGUUCUCCCUCUGGAGAUUUUUAAAUUUUUUUUUAUUCCACGAUAAGUCAUUUUUAGGGGGAAUGGGAGUUCAGAAGCUGCAUUUCAGAAAUGCUAUAGUAAUGGUUUUUAACAUCUUUUACUCCUCUUACUGGUGCUAUUUUGUAGGAUAAGGAACAACAUUGACAAGUUUUGUGGGGGUUUUUAUACACUUUUUAAAAAAUCUCAAACUUCUAUUUUUAUGUUUACCGUUUUCAUUAAAAUUUUUUUGUAACUGGAGACACAACAUAACAAAUAUGGGGAAAAAACUGUGCCUUGUUUCAACAGUUUUUGCUAAUUUUUAGGCUGAAAGAUGACGGAUACCUAGAGUUUACCUUAUGUUUAAUUAAAAUCAGUAUUUAUCUAAAAAAAAAAAAA
Cebus imitator (Panamanian white-faced capuchin) is the source of this 4188-nucleotide RNA transcript. It is a transcript of the gene named DNA (cytosine-5)-methyltransferase 3B-like, with no coding region annotated. The record is from RefSeq and is a predicted model, not a curated record. The transcript has 2 exons. Lineage: Eukaryota; Metazoa; Chordata; Mammalia; Primates; Cebidae.